UUAGAGGAAGUAAAAGUCGUAACAAGGUUUCCGUAGGUGAACCUGCGGAAGGAUCAUUAUUGAAUAAACUUGGAUUGUGUUGCUUGCUGGCUCUCAGGAGUAUGUGCACACUCAUUCCAUUUCUUCAAUCUCCUGUGCACCUUUUGUAGGCCUGAAUAACUCUCGAGAAAGAAUAUUUUUUUCUCGGUCUGGGAAUUUGUUGUGUCUCAAGUGGCACGGCUUUUCUUGUGUUUCUGGUCUAUGUUUUCAUAUACCCCUAUUAAAAUGUAAUGGAAUGUUGCAAUGGGCUUUUGUGUCCUUGAAAACAAAAUACAACUUUCAACAACGGAUCUCUUGGCUCUCGCAUCGAUGAAGAACGCAGCGAAAUGUGAUAAGUAAUGUGAAUUGCAGAAUUCAGUGAAUCAUCGAAUUUUUGAACGCACCUUGCGCUCCUUGGUAUUCCGAGGAGCAUGCCUGUUUGAGUGUCAUUAAAUUUCUCAACCUUUCUGGCUUUUACAAGGCUUUGAGUAGGCUUGGAUUAUGGGAGUUGCUGGUCUUUUAUAAGUCAGCUCUCUUUAAAUGUAUUAGCAAGAUCAUUGUGCUGAUCAGCUCUGGUAUGAUAACUAUCUAUACCGUUGAGGAGCAGUCUUCUUUCCUUCAGAGAGGGGGGGAAGGUCUUGCUUCUAGAUGUCUUCAUAUUGAGACAAUUCUGACAAUUUUGACCUCAAAUCAGGUAGGACUACCCGCUGAACUUAAGCAUAUCAUA
Molecule: ribosomal RNA, 745 nt
Filed under: Entoloma salicetense
Lineage: Eukaryota; Fungi; Basidiomycota; Agaricomycetes; Agaricales; Entolomataceae
Description: eukaryotic LSU rRNA
Rfam family: 5.8S ribosomal RNA (bases 314-467)
Source: RNAcentral